This 26-nucleotide non-coding RNA is filed under the name Mus musculus (house mouse). Lineage: Eukaryota; Metazoa; Chordata; Mammalia; Rodentia; Muridae. The record is from RNAcentral.
UCAAGGAUUGUAUCUGAAGAGGGAAA